GACGAACGCUGGCGGCGUGCUUAACACAUGCAAGUCGAACGGAAAGGCCCUGCUUUUGUGGGGUGCUCGAGUGGCGAACGGGUGAGUAACACGUGAGUAACCUGCCCUUGACUUUGGGAUAACUUCAGGAAACUGGGGCUAAUACCGGAUAGGAGCUCCUGCUGCAUGGUGGGGGUUGGAAAGUUUCGGCGGUUGGGGAUGGACUCGCGGCUUACCAGCUUGUUGGUGGGGUAGUGGCUUACCAAGGCUUUGACGGGUAGCCGGCCUGAGAGGGUGACCGGCCCCAUUGGGACUGGGUUACGGCCCGGACUCCUACGGGAGGCAGCGGUGGGGAAUAUGGCACAAUGGGCGGAAGCCUGAUGCAGCAACGCCGCGUGCGGGAUGACGGCCUUCGGGUUGUAAACCGCUUUCGCCUGUGACGAAGCGUGAGUGACGGUAAUGGGGAAAGAAGCACCGGCUAACUACGG
RNAcentral lists this ribosomal RNA (467 nucleotides) under uncultured bacterium. RNAcentral's name for it is "partial 16S ribosomal RNA". It matches the Rfam family "Bacterial small subunit ribosomal RNA", at positions 28 to 506 of the family's 1533-position model. The record is from RNAcentral.